RNAcentral lists this long non-coding RNA (4138 nucleotides) under Homo sapiens (human). Its description in RNAcentral is "HSALNT0016674". Lineage: Eukaryota; Metazoa; Chordata; Mammalia; Primates; Hominidae. The record is from RNAcentral.
CAAAAAGGAAAUUAAGAAAACAACUUCAUUUAUAAUAGCAUCAAAAAGAAUAAAUACUUAGAAAUAAAAUUAAUACAGACAUGAAAGGCUUAUACACUAAAAACUAAAAAACACUGAUGAAAGACAUUAAAGCAGACACAAAUACAUGCAAAGAUAUCCUGUGUUCAUGGAUUGGAUAAAUUGAUAUUAUUAAAAUAUCCAUACUACCUAAAGUGAUCUACAGAUUUAAUGCAAUCCCUAUCAAAAUCCCAAUGCUAGUUUUUACAGAAAUAGAAACAACAAUCCUAAAAUUUAUAGGAUUUUAGGAACUAUCAAAGGAACUACUAAAGAUCCUAUAUAGCCAAAGCCAUUUUGAGCAAGAAGAACAAAGCUCAAGGCAUCAUACUUCCUUAUUUCAAUAUAGAUUACAAAGCAACAGUAAUCAAAACAGUAUGAUACAGACAUAAAAACAGGCAAAUAUACCAGUGGAACAGAAUAAAAAGCCCAGAAAUAAACUAACCUACACAUAUACAGACACGAAUUCUGAGAAGAGUGCCAAGAACACAUACUGGAAAAAGAGUAGUCUCUUCAAUAAAUGGUGUUGGGAAAAUUGUAUCCGCAUGAAAAAAUAAAAUUAAAUUAAACCCUUAUUUUACAACCUUACAACAUAAACAAAAAUCAAUUCAAAAUGGAUUAAAGACUUAAACAUAAAACCUGAAACUAUAAAACUCCUAAGAGAAAACAUAGGGAAAACCUUCCUGACAUUGGUCUUGGCAAUGAUUUAUUGGACAUGACACCAAAAGCACAAGCAACAAAAGCAAAAAUAGACAAGUUACAUUAAACUAAAAAGCUUCUACGUAGCAAAGGAAAAAAAUCAACAAUAUAAAAAGGCAACUUAUAGAGUGAGAGAAAAUAUUUGCAAACCACAUAUCUGAUAAAGGGUUAAUACCAAAAUAUAUAAGAAACUCAUGCAACUCAAUAGCAAAAUAAUAUUAAUAAUAACCCAAUUUAAAAAAUGGACAAAACAAACUGAAUAGACAUUCCCCACAGAGGACAUACAAAUGGUUAACAGGUACAUGAAAAGGUGUUAAACAUCACUAGUCAUCAGGGAAAUGCAAUUGGAAACCACAAUGAGGUAUCCCCUCACACUUUGUAGAAUGGCUAUUAUCAAAAAACAAAAGAUAAUAAAUGUUUAUGAGGAUGUGGAGAAAAGGAAUCCUUGUACACUGUUGGUGGGAAUGUAAAUUAGCACAGCCAUUAUGGAAAGCAAUAUGGAGGUUUCUUUAAAAAAUUAAACAUAGAACUACUACAUGAUCCAGCAAUCCCACUUCUGGGUGUAUAUCAAAAGGAAUUGAAAUCAGAAGCUUAAAGAUAUAUCUUCAUUGCCAUGUUCAUUGCAGCAUUAUUCACAACAGCCAAGAUAUGGAAUCAACCAAUUGUUCAUUGACAGAAUAAUGGAUAAAGAAAAUAUAGUAUCCACAUACAAUAUUUAGCCUUAAAAAGAAGAAGAAAAUCCUGCCACUUGUGGCAACUUGGAUGAACCUGAAGGAUAUUAUGUUAAGUAAAAUAAGCCAGAUACAGAAGAACAAAUAUUACAUGAUGCCACUUACACGAAGAAUCUAAAAUAGUCAAACUCACAGAAGCAGAAAGUAAAAUGGUGGUUGUCAGGAGACAGAGGAAAGGGAAAAUAGGGAGAUAUUAGUCAAAAGGUACGAAGUUCCUGAUGUACAAAUUGAGUAAGUCCUAGAGAUCUACUGUACCAUAUACUGCCUAUAGUUAAUAUUAUAUUUUAUACUUAAAAGAUGCUGAGGGUGGAUCUUAUGUUGUGUUCUUAUCACACACAUGCAAAUACUAAUAAUAAAUAAAAAGGUGGGAGAAAUUUUACAGGUAAUGGAUAGGUUUAUGUCACAGAUUGUGGUGAUAGUUUCAUGGGAGCAUACUUAUCAAGUUGUACACUUUAAAUAUGUACCACUUUUUACAUGUCAAUCAUACCUCAAUAAAGCUGUUUAAGAAAUAUUGUGUAAGGAAAUAUAUCAAUGUUUGGGAGAUCUGUGUAACUUAGUGAACCAAUAUUUACCAAACAACUAAUUAAUGCAUAAUGUAACAAGUAUUAAAAUUUAUUUCACAUGGUUUCAGAAUUUACAUUGGGAAACAUCUUUAAGAAAUUACUAUUUGUCAGUAUUGGUGUGGAAGCAAAAAAAAGAAUAUACAUAAUUAUGUAAAAAGGCUAUAAAAAUAUUUCUUCUUUUUCCAACUAUGUAUCUGCGUGAAGCCAGAUUUUCUUCAAAUAUGUCAAUUAAGACUACGUAUCACAACAGAUUGAAUGCUGAAGUGGACAGAAAAACCCACUGUCUUUCUUUAAAUCAGAAAACUACCUUGGACUACGAGGGUGUGGGGUGAGCCAGCCAUUACCCCCACCCUGAAGCCUGUCCCCCUUUUCUUCUCCAUGGACUACAAGGGGUCUUGAGGGCAUGCAGGUGAACACCCAGAUCACAAGUCCAAGCAGAUACCCACCUGCUGCAAACAGCUACCUAUUGGCCACCUUUUGGGCCUAGGGGUAUGCAUAUCUACAGCGACAUCCACUUUCAGAAGGACAGACACUUUGAAGAAACCUAUGUAGGCCCUGGAGGCAGGAUUUGGACCAUUUGGGCAAGAAAUCCAGGGUUCCAGGUACUCAUGGCUUGGUCAAAAUAGAAGGUUCCAGCUGGGCCCUUCUCUACCUUGUAGAUUCUCCAUUCCCAGAGGAACAUAGUCAGAAAAGGGCCAUAGUGGAGCCCUUUGAAUCAACAAAAGACCUCUUCCCUCUGUUUCUUGGGUCUAAAGGCAGUACUCUGUCAAAUCCUUUAUCAACUCUGAACCACAGUUUUCUCUCUAUAAACUCAGAUGGUCAGAAUAAAUUCAAUCUCAUACCAAUCCUUCAAGAGUCUGUCUUGUUCCUAACCCAAGGAAGGUAGCAUUAAGUUCUUGCUGAGUAAUCAAAACUAAUUUGUAAAGCAUAAAACCCUCUAAAAAUUGGAUACAUUAAGUGAGCUUGAUAGAAGGGAACCCUUUCCUUCCCAACAGUAAACUAAAAUGGGGAACUCUAAAGCCACUCUAACUCUUCCUUUUUACUAAUCUUAAAUUCCAGAUAUUAAUGAGAAAGAGUUCGUCCUUCCCGUAACGUUUUCUCUAAAGGAAAAAGAAGAUCUGAUAGGGUUAAGUGACUUCUCCAGGGCUCCACAGUGGCAAGUGGCAAAGGCGGGGUUAGGAGACCAGACUUCUGACUUUACGGGGCUAUGCCUGUGUUUCAUGCUGCUUCCCCCUAGUCUGAUAUUGUAAAGGAGUCACCAAAUCUAUGUCUCCAGCUGAGAUGAGAAGAAAUUGGAUUUCCUGAGAAUCAUGAUAGCUGCCUCUUACUAAACCCUGGCUAUGCUCAGGCACCAUUCCAAGAACUUUAAGUAUAUGAUCUCUAACAAUAACAACCUGGCAAUGUAAGUAUUGUUAUUCUCUUCUUACAUAUGUGACAAUGACAAUUCAGAGUUGUUAGGUAACUAUUCCAAUUAUAAACUUCAAUAAAUGUCAAUAUGUGUGUGUGUGUACACAUAUAUGUAUACACAUACAUAUAUACACAUAUAUGCACACACAUACAUAUAUACAUAUAUGCACACACAUACAUAUAUACAUAUAUGCACACACAUACAUAUAUACACAUAUAUGUGCACACACAUACAUAUAUACACAUAUAUGUGUACACACAUACAUAUAUACACAUAUAUGUGUACACACAUGCAUAUAUACACACAUAUAUGUGUACACACAUGCAUAUAUACACACAUAUAUGUGUACACACAUGCAUAUAUACACACAUAUAUGUGUACACACAUGCAUAUAUACACACAUAUAUGUGUACACACAUGCACAUAUAUACACAUAUAUGUGUACACACAUGCCCAUAUAUACACAUAUAUGUGUACACACAUGCAUAUAUAUACACAUAUAUGUGUACACACAUGCAUAUAUAUACACAUAUAUGUGUGCACACAUGCAUAUAUAUACACAUAUAUGUGUGCACACAUACAUAUAUUUAUAUAUUCCUGCCUAUGUUCAUGUAAAAUUGUGACAAGAUUCCACCAAAUUGCCCUUCAAAAAGGAUUGCACAAAAUCGAUUGUGACUUUUCCC